AAGAGAAGCAUCAGCCUAACAUGAGACACUUUUUAUUUUAGAUGCACCAAGAAAUUAGACUGGAAUUGGACUUUUCCAAUCACUGGUGAGCUUUUGCUCUUGACGAGCCUUGAUUGAGUGGCUGGAAACUGAACAUGUAAUUUUUUAUUCUGGCAGUGAAGAAACCAAACGACAACAACAUCCCUUGUUUAUUACAGUUAUAUGUUGUCAGUGAAAAAAAAGGAAGAAGAAAAAGAACGAACUCGAAUACUCAGGAUAGAAGACCAGGCCAAGGUAGAUGGCAGGAGAAAAUUUAAUCAGGGAAUGUGGAAGGACUUUCCCAGCUUUGUCUCUUCACUCUCAACCAGACUCUGACAUUCAUUCAAAAAUGAGAACAUCAAUAGCCAGGUCGCAUUCUUUAAAUAAUCUUCUGGAAUAAAAAGUUAUUAGCCAGAAAGGUCUUCGUCUCUCUUGCAGAAUCUCUCCUUUAGCCUGUGGGAGGUCCCAAACUCUGGUUCUCUUGGGAUUAGAAUGGUUUUAGAGAGUUUAUUGAUGAUGUAGUGGGAAGAUCGGUGCAGAGAGGCAGAGAACAAAAGUUUUAAUAAAGAUCUGGUUGCUUUGUCAUACAUAGAGAAGACAGGGGAGGGAAUGCACUUGGGGACAUGAGACUAAACAAGGAAGUAUGAGAGGACAAGAGGUCCAGGAUCGGGAACACAACAGCAAACUUGAUCUGACGAGGGGCAAGCAGAAAUCAAAGUUGAAAGAGACUGGGUCAUAUACUUUACUCUGUCAUGGAAAUACUGUUGGAAUGACCUUGGCAAGGAAAAUAAGACAAUCUAGCCCUGGAGGAGAGACUGAUGAGGGUAAAAAACACCGAUGGAAAGGGUGACUCAUAAUGAGAUGAAUGAGCCCAGCCAAGUUCCAUUGCACAUCACAAACCAUAACUGUUUUAAUUCUGUCUAUGGAUGUGGAAAUGUUGGCCGACCAUUUGAAACCUCACAGGUAAAGUAAACCUCUCAAGGAAACAUACUUUGUAACAAACCAUUUAGCGCACUAAUCAUUCUGAAUGGUAAUAUAAGAGGCUAAGGACAUUUCACUCCUUAGCCUUGACAGGAACCACAGAUUCCUGUCAAACUCUCUUGUUAAGUAUAACAACAUUUGCGAGCCUGUGUAUGACCUUCGCAUAUGAACUGCCACUGCUUUCCGACUGUGGAUUUAAUUGUGGAGUUUUUAAGUGUCUGACCUCCAUAGAGUAGGAACACACAAACUGUGUUGAGGAUGAGUUACACCUUACUCUUAGAAAACAAUUCAACAUUUUGUUUUAUGCCACACUGUUAUUUCCAGUUGGGCAAAAAAAGUGAA
Molecule: long non-coding RNA, 1341 nt
Organism: Xiphophorus couchianus (Monterrey platyfish)
Lineage: Eukaryota; Metazoa; Chordata; Actinopteri; Cyprinodontiformes; Poeciliidae
Exons: 2
Source: RefSeq, a predicted model, not a curated record